GCACCCGUAGCUCAGCUGGAUAGAGUACUCGGCUACGAACCGAGCGGUCGGAGGUUCGAAUCCUCCCGGGUGCACCA
This 77-nucleotide transfer RNA is filed under the name Erwinia tracheiphila. Its description in RNAcentral is "tRNA-Arg". It matches the Rfam family "tRNA". Rfam says of the family: Transfer RNA (tRNA) molecules are approximately 80 nucleotides in length. Their secondary structure includes four short double-helical elements and three loops (D, anti-codon, and T loops). Lineage: Bacteria; Pseudomonadati; Pseudomonadota; Gammaproteobacteria; Enterobacterales; Erwiniaceae. The record is from RNAcentral. RNAcentral also lists the same sequence under 2 other names.